GACGAACGCUGGCGGCGUGCCUAAUACAUGCAAGUAGAACGCUGAAGGAGGAGCUUGCUUCUCCGGAUGAGUUGCGAACGGGUGAGUAACGCGUAGGUAACCUGCCUGGUAGCGGGGGAUAACUAUUGGAAACGAUAGCUAAUACCGCAUAAGAGUAGAUGUCGCAUGACAUUUGCUUAAAAGGUGCAACUGCACCACUACCAGAUGGACCUGCGUUGUAUUAGCUAGUUGGUGAGGUAACGGCUCACCAAGGCAACGAUACAUAGCCGACCUGAGAGGGUGAUCGGCCACACUGGGACUGAGACACGGCCCAGACUCCUACGGGAGGCAGCAGUAGGGAAUCUUCGGCAAUGGACGGAAGGCUGACCGAGCAACGCCGCGUGAGGGAAGAAGGUUUUCGGAUCGUAAAGCUCUGUUGUAAGAGAAGAACGAGUGUGAGAGUGGAAAGUUCACACUGUGACGGUAUCUUACCAGAAAGGGACGGCUAACUACGUG
RNAcentral lists this ribosomal RNA (495 nucleotides) under uncultured bacterium. Its description in RNAcentral is "partial 16S ribosomal RNA". It matches the Rfam family "Bacterial small subunit ribosomal RNA", at positions 28 to 507 of the family's 1533-position model. The record is from RNAcentral.